CACGGUGUGGUUGAAUGGAUUUUAAUUAAACAUACCGUCGCAAAUUUGAUAUUUUUGGAUAUUCCUAGUCUGUUUGCGACCCUGAACCACAUUCCACAAAAAAUUUUGAUUUUCAUCCGUGCAGUUCGGAGCACCCGGACCAAGGCUCCCUAGAGUGCUCUGUAGGUGCGAUAGAACUGAUUUGGGUCGCAAUCAAAAGGGUAUGGAAUUCUAAUAGUAAUAGCAUAAAAAAUUGGUCUCGUGGGUUCCAGAUAGGCUAGUAGCGACUCAUUGAAGUUGAAAAAUGACGAUUUUUGAAAGGUUCUACAGGCGGGGAUACUUGAGUCACAGACCUGGUAAUUACUUGUACUAGUAGAGUGACAUUACCUCUACCAAUAUCCAAAAAAUCAAUUUUUUUAAUUGUCUACAUAGCAACUUUCCAGGGGUCCAAAAUUUAUCUCUGCUAUUUGGCCAUAGUUGUUUUGCUGCUAGUCUCAGCUUUCUAAUAACACCACAUUUGCUGAAUCUCUGGUCAACAGUGCCGUUCUAUUGAGUGCCCAAGUGAGGUAAGUCCAUCUACGACGAAAUUUUGAGCAUGACUUCAUAAAACGGUAAUAAAUCACAAAUAUAGGUAUUAUUUUGCUUUUUUUAUUGAUAUAUAUAACUCUGUUUACAAAUCGCAAUUAAACAAACCCUCCCCACCGUUUUCUGAAGUCAUACUCAAAAUUUCGUCGCAGAUGAACUUACCUCACUUGGGCACUCAAUAGAACGGCACUGUUGACCAGAGAUUCAGCAAAUGUGGUGUUAUUAGAAAGCUGAGACUAGCAGCAAAACAAAAUUAAGCAGUUUGGUUGCGAAAAAUUAUCAUGAGUGUGAGUUAGGUGUCGGUGAGUUUCACAAAUAUGGCCAAAUAACAGAGAUAAAUUUUGGACCCCUGGAAAGUUGCUAUGUAGACCAUUUAAAAAAGUGAUUUUUUGGAUAUUGGUAGAGGUAAUGUCCCUCUACUAGUACAAGUAAUUACCAGGUCUGUGACUCAAGUAUCCCCGCCUGUAGAACCUUUCAAAAAUCGUCAUUUUUCAACUUCAAUGAGUCGCUACUAGCCUAUCUGGAACCCACGAGACCAAUUUUUUAUGCUAUUACUAUUAGAAUUCCAUACCCUUUUGAUUGCGACCCAAAUCAGUUCUAUCGCACCUACAGAGCACUCUAGGGAGCCUUGGUCCGGGUGCUCCGAACUGCACGGAUGAAAAUCAAAAUUUUUUGUGGAAUGUGGUUCAGGGUCGCAAACAGACUAGGAAUAUCCAAAAAUAUCAAAUUUGCGACGGUAUGUUUAAUUAAAAUCCAUUCAACCACACCGUGUUGAAUAUUAUGUG
This is a long non-coding RNA of Bradysia coprophila, 1349 nucleotides long. The record is from RefSeq and is a predicted model, not a curated record. NCBI's taxonomy places the organism in Eukaryota, Metazoa, Arthropoda, Insecta, Diptera, Sciaridae.